This 1199-nucleotide unclassified non-coding RNA is filed under the name Hevea brasiliensis (rubber tree). Lineage: Eukaryota; Viridiplantae; Streptophyta; Magnoliopsida; Malpighiales; Euphorbiaceae. The record is from RNAcentral.
UAUCUGGAUUGGGACAGUAAAUUGACCAAGAUUUUGACAGAAUUUGGACAGAGUUUCUUCAUGAAAAAUGGGCAUUUUGUCCUAGGUUUCAUCUCCAAUUGGCCUUACACCAAUUGGAACAACAAAAUUUCAGUUCUAGCCAUGUGAAUGAGCAAGGGUCAAGAUGUCCAGAUUUGGACAUUACCACUUUCACACUUCAAUUCAAUUCCAUGCAUUCAAUCACACUUAUAAGCACACCAAUUAACCAGUUUAAGCAUCAAUAAUGUCAAUUGGUCAAUAAUUCAUCAAAACCCUAAUUUUCAUAAACCCUAACUAUAUAAUCCACCAUCCCAUAAAAUCCCAUGCAAGCUCAUCAUGCAAUUCAUGUUUACAUGUCAAUCCACUCUAGUAAACAUGUUUACUUCCAUCAACACAUCAAAAUCUCUCUCUCCCUUAGGGUGGCCGAAUUUUAUGUUCAACCCUCCAUGCAUUUUUUUCAACAUAUUCUUUAUAAUUUCCACACAUCUCAAUUGAAAUUUAAGUAAUAUUCAAUAAUUUAGAACUAAUUUGCACAUACCUCAAAUAUGAGAUUUCCAAGCUAGCCAAUUCUUCAUUUUUUUUUCUCUUCUUUUUGCUACCAAUCUCUUAAUCAAGGUCUCUAAUCAAGUUUUUGUGUUGAGACUUAGGGGAAAUAUGAUGAGAAAAUGAGGAAUUGAAGCUUGAAAAGGAAAAAAAAAUGGUGGAAGAGAGUUUAGGAAUGGUGGCCGGCCAAAGAAGGUUAAAGAAGACAAUUUUUUUUGUCUUUAAUUCCACUUUUGUCUCUUACAUAGAGAUAAUUAUCCACAAUUAUUUUUAAAUAUUAAAAAUUAUAACUUUAAUUACAUCAUGAUGAUUUCAUAAUUCCUAUUUAAAUUUGUAUUUCUUUUCUUUUAUUCUUUCUACUACACAUCUCUUCAUUUUUAAUUAUUUUUCAAUAUUUUAAUUUUCUAUAUUUUAAUGGAUCUUUAGACCAAGAGUCACCCCUAUGGGUGAAUUGACCAUUUUGCCCUUUAUCGGUCUAAUCCAUUUUUCCAAUAGCAUUAGGUUACUUCCUGAACUCUAAUUCAAUUUUUCAAACUAGUUCUCUAUUCUUUUCUGUGAUUUUCACAUUAUCAUUAACUUCACAAUUAUCCCUAGGCCUGGGUUGUCAUAAGGUCCCACACGAAAUUAGGGUAGCGACU